This 503-nucleotide ribosomal RNA is filed under the name Pterocryptus sp. 2 BFS-2018. RNAcentral describes it as "partial 16S large subunit ribosomal RNA". Lineage: Eukaryota; Metazoa; Arthropoda; Insecta; Hymenoptera; Ichneumonidae. The record is from RNAcentral.
UCAAAAACAUGUCUUUUAGAUAAAUAAUUUAAAGUYUGAUYWGCUCCAKGAAUUAUUAAAUAGCUGCAGUAUUUUGACUGUACAAAGGUAGCAUAAUCAAUAGUUUUUUAAUUAAAAGCUGGAAUGAAUGAUUUGAUAAGGUAAAUUUUGUCUCAAAUUUAAUAAUUUUAUAAUUUUUUUUUUAGUAAAAAUACUUAAUUGGAUUUAAAAGACGAGAAGACCCUAUAGAUUUUUAUAUUUUAAUAUUUAAUAGAUAAAAAUUUAAUAAAUCAUUAAAUUUGAAAAUAUUUGGUUGGGGAAAUUAUUAAAUUAAUUUAAUUUUAAUAAUUAAUAAACAAUAAUUAUUGAUUAAUUGAUCUUGAAUUUUUGAUUAAAAGAUUAAAAUACCUUAGGGAUAACAGCGUAAUUUUUUUUGAAAGAACUUAUUGAUAAAAAAGUUUGCGACCUCGAUGUUGAAUUAAGAUUAAAUAUUAAUGUAGAAGUUAAAUUAUUUUGGUCUGUUC